Photinus pyralis (common eastern firefly) is the source of this 458-nucleotide long non-coding RNA. RefSeq lists it as uncharacterized. The record is from RefSeq and is a predicted model, not a curated record. Lineage: Eukaryota; Metazoa; Arthropoda; Insecta; Coleoptera; Lampyridae. The transcript has 3 exons.
UUUUGUUGUUAUCUACAUUUGGAAGAAUAUGCCAAAGGCGAUAUUAGGAAACUGCUUCGCAAUAACGUUAUACAGACCAACAUUGACCUAUGGUAAAGAGAGAGUCCGGUGCUGAACGAAUCUCAAAAAAACCAGACUACAAGGAUCUUGACUGAUAGCUAAAGUAGAGGUUUGCUUUCAAGUUGGCGCUAUAAUGUAUUUAACUGGAAUUCACAGUAGUGACCGAAGGCUUUAAUUCGAGAAGAAGAACAUAUUCUUUCCGAGAAUACAGCGACAUUUGGUUUGUAAUAUGGAAGUCAGCAGGAACUGCGCGCUUGCGUUUGCGCAGUACAGGGAGUCAGUGUGGAACACAUCUGCAAGUUGCCAUCCCACCCCACUACUGCAGUGGCGUACCGUCGGUCAUUGGUGUCCAGGGCGGAAUAUAAACUUGCCGCCCUAAUGAGAAAGGCGAGGGGAGU